AUUGAACGCUGGCGGAAUGCUUUACACAUGCAAGUCGAACGGCAGCACGGGGGCAACCCUGGUGGCGAGUGGCGAACGGGUGAGUAAUACAUCGGAACGUGCCCGGUCGUGGGGGAUAACGUAGCGAAAGUUACGCUAAUACCGCAUACGAUCUGAGGAUGAAAGCGGGGGACCUUCGGGCCUCGCGCGAUCGGAGCGGUCGAUGUCAGAUUAGGUAGUUGGUGGGGUAAAGGCCUACCAAGCCGACGAUCUGUAGCUGGUCUGAGAGGACGACCAGCCACACUGGGACUGAGACACGGCCCAGACUCCUACGGGAGGCAGCAGUGGGGAAUUUUGGACAAUGGGCGCAAGCCUGAUCCAGCCAUUCCGCGUGCAGGACGAAGGCCUUCGGGUUGUAAACUGCUUUUGUAUGGAACGAAAAGGCUCUGGCUAAUACCUGGGGCUCAUGACGGUACCGUAAGAAUAAGCACCGGCUAACUACGUG
Molecule: ribosomal RNA, 484 nt
Filed under: uncultured bacterium
Lineage: Bacteria
Description: partial 16S ribosomal RNA
Rfam family: Bacterial small subunit ribosomal RNA
Source: RNAcentral